RNAcentral lists this long non-coding RNA (1947 nucleotides) under Fragaria vesca (wild strawberry). RNAcentral's name for it is "long non-coding RNA (FVES_LNC003460)". The record is from RNAcentral. Lineage: Eukaryota; Viridiplantae; Streptophyta; Magnoliopsida; Rosales; Rosaceae.
UAUAUGCUUGGAAGAGCAUUGACAUCAGUUUUCUGGGGAAUAGUGGCUGAUCGCUAUGGUCGAAAACCUGUCAUAAUAAUAGGAACUAUUGCAGUGUUAGUAAAUGCAAAUUUGGAAAUGAGUUCAUAUAUAAUUUUCUGCAGUUAUUAGAGAUGGAUGUUUUCUGGCAGACAGUUGACAUGUGCAUAUUGAUUCUCUCAGGGUUGUUUUCAAUACUCUCUUUGGACUCAGUGUAAACUUUUGGAUGGCUAUUGCUACACGAUUUCUUCUUGGAAGUUUAAAUGGUUUGUUUGGACCAAUAAAGGUAUCACAUUGUACUAUAUACUAUUAAUAAUGAUGUAAUUACAGGCUCGUCUAUAUUCAUGGGUUAGUUUUCUUAUUUGAUUUACCUGAAUUACCAGGCAUAUGCAAGUGAAGUCUUUCGGGAAGAACACCAAGCGUUAGGGAUGUCAACAGUAAGUCAUGUUGGUUAUUUUAUAUACAAGUUGAAAUUGUACAAUUACUAUACCAGAGUCAAAACUAUUGAGUUUCAGGUUAGCACAGCAUGGGGUAUCGGAUUGAUCAUUGGUCCAGCUUUGGGAGGAUUCUUUGCCCAGGUAAUUCUACUUGUUGUAACUUCAGGCGAACAAAUACACUUAUAAAUACUAUAUUCUGAGUAUGUGUGUGUGUGAAGCAGUAAAGUCAUGUUGGAAUACAAACUUGUUGAUGUUCUGGCUUGCUUGUGUUGAAUUUUUGUGAACUUAUUUUGAUUCCAUAAGGAAAAGCAUCAUGUCAUUGGUUUUUUACGAGAGCCUAUUCGGCGCACCCGGGUGCGCGGCGCACUCGUCAUCUCCACCGUUUUAAUUUUUUUUUUUAGCGGGUCAAAAUGGACGGUGGAUACACCUGGAUGCGCGGCGCACCCGGGGGCGCUGUAUAAUUUUCAGUUUUUUACCUAUAAUGGAGUAUUGUGAUUCCACAUUAAUAAAUCUAGUAUGAGUGAAACAGUGGAAGAAUGUCUCAUCAUUUUGAUUAUUUAAAGCCUAUUUUGGUUUUGUAAGUUAUUAAAAUAGGGUGGCACAGUUGACGGAGAACAGGUACAUCCGUACGUAUUUCCAUGAUAUGUUUUGGUUCAGUUCAGUAUCGGAAAAGUGGUACUUUUAAUGAGUAGGAUAGAAGGAGCAAGUAAUAAGUGAUCGUCUCUUGCUAGCUAUCAUUCCCAAUUGUUGUGGGAAAGUUAGAUAAUUUUCAGAACAUAUGUUUUCUGUGUCAAUCCCCAAGAGCUAUAUAUGUUAAGCACAUUCUAUUUACCAAGGAGCUUUUAAUUAAGUUUUUUUUUUUUUUUCUUUUUUUUCUGGGGCUUGCAACAAGCACAUUCUAUUCUUUUAAAGUGGUGACUUUUAAAACUAUUAGACAACGAGAUUUAAACAUGCUCUAUUUUUUCCUAUUCGACUCAUUAUAUCACAUGUUUCUAAAUUUUCUUUUUAAUUCAGCCAGCAGAGAAAUAUCCCACUAUUUUUCCCCAGACUCUAUAUUCGGGAGGUAAGUGAGUUUCAGACUCAUUCCUUGAGUGAAGUGAAGUUAGACAAUCAAAUUUCCGCAUUUGUGUUUGUUUGAUGGUUUUAACAUGUCGAACUGUGAUGCAGGUUUCCGUACUUCUUACCUUGCCUUUGUAUAUCGAUUUUUGNNNNNNNNNNNNNNNNNNNNUAUAUAUAUAUAUAUAUAUAUAUAAUGUAUAUAUAUUGUGUGGCACAUGCUUGCAUAAGGACUUGUUGAAACUACAAGUUGUAGCUAAUCUCUUAUCUGGAUGGUUGCAGGAAACCUUACACAAUCACAAUGAAAAUGCCAGAUUACAUGAUGAUUCCUUUGAAGCACUGGAGUCUUCAUCCUGUGGGUCAGUUGCAAAUGAAAUGAAACCAAAAACUGAAGAACAAAUACCUAAAGAAAACCUCAUGAAGAAUUGGCCUUUAA